CUUCCCCUUAUCAUAGAACCAAAAACUAACCAUGAUACAAGGGCCUGCCUCUCAGUACGUGAAAACGGAAGUGAAACUCUUUCACUGUCUUACUUUGGCCCCUCUCUAGCCAAAUCAAAAAAUUUGAACAACCCCCGAGACACCAAACAAAUUCCCUAGAACUCACGCAUAUACCAUGUCAGCCUCCACCUUCAGAUCCUUACUGUCCAUCUUUAUCAGCCAACUCCCCCGUUUCCAAAAACCUUAUCCACCACUAAGAAAAGGUGCCUUAGCGGCUAUGCUUCUCCAGUGCCCGACCAUAGACGUCGCUCUCCCCCGGAUGUUGUAAUUCUUCUAGUCUUUCAUUUUCUUCCCCGCAAAUGAAGAGAACAAGUCCUAGUAGGAGAAGAAAGAGGUCGAGUCCCUCGAUCCACCCCUCUAGCCACUCCAGGUUUGGAAAA
RNAcentral lists this long non-coding RNA (440 nucleotides) under Nicotiana benthamiana. Its description in RNAcentral is "long non-coding RNA (NBEN_LNC032511)". The record is from RNAcentral. Lineage: Eukaryota; Viridiplantae; Streptophyta; Magnoliopsida; Solanales; Solanaceae.